UACGGAGGGAGCUAGCGUUGUUCGGAAUUACUGGGCGUAAAGCGCGCGUAGGCGGCUUGGCAAGUAGAGGGUGAAAUCCCGGAGCUUAACUCCGGAACUGCCUCCUAAACUGCUGAGCUAGAAUCCUGGAGAGGUGAGUGGAAUUCCUAGUGUAGAGGUGAAAUUCGUAGAUAUUAGGAAGAACACCAGUGGCGAAGGCG
This 200-nucleotide ribosomal RNA is filed under the name uncultured bacterium. Its description in RNAcentral is "partial 16S ribosomal RNA". It matches the Rfam family "Bacterial small subunit ribosomal RNA", at positions 524 to 723 of the family's 1533-position model. The record is from RNAcentral.